RNAcentral lists this ribosomal RNA (379 nucleotides) under Candida albicans. RNAcentral describes it as "eukaryotic LSU rRNA". The stretch from base 179 to 379 matches the Rfam family "Eukaryotic large subunit ribosomal RNA", at positions 1 to 200 of the family's 3401-position model. The record is from RNAcentral. Lineage: Eukaryota; Fungi; Ascomycota; Pichiomycetes; Serinales; Debaryomycetaceae.
GGGCAUGCCUGUUUGAGCGUCGUUUCUCCCUCAAACCGCUGGGUUUGGUGUUGAGCAAUACGACUUGGGUUUGCUUGAAAGACGGUAGUGGUAAGGCGGGAUCGCUUUGACAAUGGCUUAGGUCUAACCAAAAACAUUGCUUGCGGCGGUAACGUCUACCACGUAUAUCUUCAAACUUUGACCUCAAAUCAGGUAGGACUACCCGCUGAACUUAAGCAUAUCAAUAAGCGGAGGAAAAGAAACCAACAGGGAUUGCCUCAGUAGCGGCGAGUGAAGCGGCAAAAGCUCAAAUUUGAAAUCUGGCGUCUUUGGCGUCCGAGUUGUAAUUUGAAGAAGGUAUCUUUGGGCCCGGCUCUUGUCUAUGUUCCUUGGAACAGGA